RNAcentral lists this ribosomal RNA (896 nucleotides) under uncultured Bacteroidota bacterium. RNAcentral's name for it is "bacterial SSU rRNA". It matches the Rfam family "Bacterial small subunit ribosomal RNA", at positions 1 to 890 of the family's 1533-position model. The record is from RNAcentral. Lineage: Bacteria; Pseudomonadati; Bacteroidota.
GGAUCCAGACUUUGAUCAUGGCUCAGGAUGAACGCUAGCUACAGGCUUAACACAUGCAAGUCGAGGGGCAGCGGGAUUGAAGCUUGCUUCAAUUGCCGGCGACCGGCGCACGGGUGAGUAACGCGUAUCCAAUCUUCCGUACACUCAGGGAUAGCCUUUCGAAAGAAAGAUUAAUACCUGAUAGUAUCUUAAGCACACAUGCAAUUAAGAUUAAAGAUUUAUCGGUGUACGAUGGGGAUGCGUUCCAUUAGGUAGUAGGCGGGGUAACGGCCCACCUAGCCAACGAUGGAUAGGGGUUCUGAGAGGAAGGUCCCCCACAUUGGAACUGAGACACGGUCCAAACUCCUACGGGAGGCAGCAGUGAGGAAUAUUGGUCAAUGGACGAGAGUCUGAACCAGCCAAGUAGCGUGAAGGAUGAAGGUCCUACGGAUUGUAAACUUCUUUUAUAAGGGAAUAAACCCUCCCACGUGUGGGAGCUUGUAUGUACCUUAUGAAUAAGCAUCGGCUAACUCCGUGCCAGCAGCCGCGGUAAUACGGAGGAUGCGAGCGUUAUCCGGAUUUAUUGGGUUUAAAGGGAGCGCAGACGGGUCGUUAAGUCAGCUGCGAAAGUUUGGGGCUCAACCUUAAAAUUGCAGUUGAUACUGGCGUCCUUGAGUGCGGUUGAGGUGUGCGGAAUUCGUGGUGUAGCGGUGAAAUGCUUAGAUAUCACGAAGAACUCCGAUUGCGAAGGCAGCACACUAAUCCGUAACUGACGUUCAUGCUCGAAAGUGUGGGUAUCAAACAGGAUUAGAUACCCUGGUAGUCCACACGGUAAACGAUGGAUACUCGCUGUUGGCGAUAUACUGUCAGCGGCUUAGCGAAAGCGUUAAGUAUCCCACCUGGGGAGUACGCCGGCA